AGAGUUUGAUCCUGGCUCAGGAUGAACGCUGGCGGCGUGCCUAAUACAUGCAAGUCGAGCGAACGGACGAGAAGCUUGCUUCUCUGAUGUUAGCGGCGGACGGGUGAGUAACACGUGGAUAACCUACCUAUAAGACUGGGAUAACUUCGGGAAACCGGAGCUAAUACCGGAUAAUAUUUUGAACCGCAUGGUUCAAAAGUGAAAGACGGUCUUGCUGUCACUUAUAGAUGGAUCCGCGCUGCAUUAGCUAGUUGGUAAGGUAACGGCUUACCAAGGCAACGAUGCAUAGCCGACCUGAGAGGGUGAUCGGCCACACUGGAACUGAGACACGGUCCAGACUCCUACGGGAGGCAGCAGUAGGGAAUCUUCCGCAAUGGGCGAAAGCCUGACGGAGCAACGCCGCGUGAGUGAUGAAGGUCUUCGGAUCGUAAAACUCUGUUAUUAGGGAAGAACAUAUGUGUAAGUAACUGUGCACAUCUUGACGGUACCUAAUCAGAAAGCCACGGCUAACUACGUGCCAGCAGCCGCGGUAAUACGUAGGUGGCAAGCGUUAUCCGGAAUUAUUGGGCGUAAAGCGCGCGUAGGCGGUUUUUUAAGUCUGAUGUGAAAGCCCACGGCUCAACCGUGGAGGGUCAUUGGAAACUGGAAAACUUGAGUGCAGAAGAGGAAAGUGGAAUUCCAUGUGUAGCGGUGAAAUGCGCAGAGAUAUGGAGGAACACCAGUGGCGAAGGCGACUUUCUGGUCUGUAACUGACGCUGAUGUGCGAAAGCGUGGGGAUCAAACAGGAUUAGAUACCCUGGUAGUCCACGCCGUAAACGAUGAGUGCUAAGUGUUAGGGGGUUUCCGCCCCUUAGUGCUGCAGCUAACGCAUUAAGCACUCCGCCUGGGGAGUACGACCGCAAGGUUGAAACUCAAAGGAAUUGACGGGGACCCGCACAAGCGGUGGAGCAUGUGGUUUAAUUCGAAGCAACGCGAAGAACCUUACCAAAUCUUGACAUCCUUUGACAACUCUAGAGAUAGAGCCUUCCCCUUCGGGGGACAAAGUGACAGGUGGUGCAUGGUUGUCGUCAGCUCGUGUCGUGAGAUGUUGGGUUAAGUCCCGCAACGAGCGCAACCCUUAAGCUUAGUUGCCAUCAUUAAGUUGGGCACUCUAAGUUGACUGCCGGUGACAAACCGGAGGAAGGUGGGGAUGACGUCAAAUCAUCAUGCCCCUUAUGAUUUGGGCUACACACGUGCUACAAUGGACAAUACAAAGGGCAGCGAAACCG
Molecule: ribosomal RNA, 1268 nt
Filed under: Staphylococcus aureus
Lineage: Bacteria; Bacillati; Bacillota; Bacilli; Caryophanales; Staphylococcaceae
Also listed under: 7 other names
Description: bacterial SSU rRNA
Rfam family: Bacterial small subunit ribosomal RNA
Source: RNAcentral